AAUGCACCAAUUUGUAAGUCGCUCUGGAUAAGAGCGUCUGCUAACUGACUUCAA
Non-coding RNA from Salmo salar (Atlantic salmon), 54 nucleotides. The record is from Rfam. Lineage: Eukaryota; Metazoa; Chordata; Actinopteri; Salmoniformes; Salmonidae.